GUCCAUGCCGUAAACGUUGGGCACUAGGUGUGGGGGACAUUCCACGUUUUCCGCGCCGUAGCUAACGCAUUAAGUGCCCCGCCUGGGGAGUACGGCCGCAAGGCUAAAACUCAAAGGAAUUGACGGGGGCCCCGCACAAGCGGCGGAGCAUGCGGAUUAAUUCGAUGCAACGCGAAGAACCUUACCAAGGCUUGACAUGAACCGGAACGGCGCAGAGAUGUGUCGGCCACUUGUGGCCGGUUUACAGGUGGUGCAUGGUUGUCGU
RNAcentral lists this ribosomal RNA (265 nucleotides) under uncultured bacterium. RNAcentral describes it as "partial 16S ribosomal RNA". It matches the Rfam family "Bacterial small subunit ribosomal RNA", at positions 793 to 1055 of the family's 1533-position model. The record is from RNAcentral.